RNAcentral lists this ribosomal RNA (466 nucleotides) under uncultured bacterium. RNAcentral's name for it is "partial 16S ribosomal RNA". It matches the Rfam family "Bacterial small subunit ribosomal RNA", at positions 28 to 507 of the family's 1533-position model. The record is from RNAcentral.
GAUGAACGCUGGCGGCGUGCUUAACACAUGCAAGUCGAACGGUGAAAGAGAGCUUGCUCUCUGUAUCAGUGGCGAACUGGUGAGUAACACGUGAGCAAUCUGCCCCUUACUCUGGGAUAAGCGCUGGAAACGGCGUCUAAUACCUGAUACGAGCUACGAACUCAUCUUCAGCAGCUGGAAAGAACUUCGGUCAGGGAUGAGCUCGCGGCCUAUCAGCUAGUUGGUGAGGUAACGGCUCACCAAGGCAUCGACGGGUAGCCGGCCUGGGAGGGUGACCGGCCACACUGGGACUGAGAGACGGCGCAGACUCCUACGGGAGGCAGCGGUGGGGAAUAUUGCACAGUGGGAGAAAGCCUGAUGCAGCAACGCCGCGUGAGGGAAGACGGCCUUCGGGUUGUAAACCUCUUUUAGCAGGGAAGAAGCGAAAGUGACGGUACCUGCAGAAAAAGCACCGGCUAACUACGUG